UUCUUAUCAAGAGCGGUGGAGGGACUGGCCCUGUGAAACCCGGCAACCUGUAUUAAUAUGCAAGGUGCUAAAUCCAGCGGUUAUUCGACCGGAAGAUGAGAA
RNAcentral lists this non-coding RNA (102 nucleotides) under Peptoclostridium litorale. RNAcentral describes it as "Clostridium litorale SAM-I sequence". It matches the Rfam family "SAM riboswitch aptamer (S box leader)". Rfam says of the family: The SAM riboswitch is found upstream of a number of genes which code for proteins involved in methionine or cysteine biosynthesis in Gram-positive bacteria. The SAM riboswitch acts at the level of transcription termination control. The predicted structure consists of a complex stem-loop region followed by a single stem loop terminator region. The record is from RNAcentral. RNAcentral also lists the same sequence under 1 other name. Lineage: Bacteria; Bacillati; Bacillota; Clostridia; Peptostreptococcales; Peptoclostridiaceae.